Molecule: ribosomal RNA, 253 nt
Filed under: uncultured bacterium
Lineage: Bacteria
Description: partial 16S ribosomal RNA
Rfam family: Bacterial small subunit ribosomal RNA
Source: RNAcentral
UACAGAGGGGGCAAGCGUUGUUCGGAAUUACUGGGCGUAAAGGGCGCGUAGGCGGCCUUCUAAGUCGAACGUGAAAUCCCUGGGCUCAACCCAGGAACUGCGUCCGAUACUGGAAGGCUUGAAUCCGGGAGAGGGAUGCGGAAUUCCAGGUGUAGCGGUGAAAUGCGUAGAUAUCUGGAGGAACACCGGUGGCGAAGGCGGCAUCCUGGACCGGUAUUGACGCUGAGGCGCGCAAGCCAGGGGAGCAAACGGG